This 460-nucleotide ribosomal RNA is filed under the name uncultured bacterium. Its description in RNAcentral is "partial 16S ribosomal RNA". It matches the Rfam family "Bacterial small subunit ribosomal RNA", at positions 338 to 795 of the family's 1533-position model. The record is from RNAcentral.
CCUACGGGAGGCAGCAGUGAGGAAUAUUGGUCAAUGGACGAGAGUCUGAACCAGCCAAGUAGCGUGAAGGAUGACUGCCCUAUGGGUUGUAAACUUCUUUUAUAAAGGAAUAAAACGAGGCACGUGUGCCUUUUUGCAUGUACUUUAUGAAUAAGGAUCGGCUAACUCCGUGCCAGCAGCCGCGGUAAUACGGGGGAUCCGAGCGUUAUCCGGAUUUAUUGGGUUUAAAGGGAGCGUAGAUGGGUUGUUAAGUCAGUUGUGAAAGUUUGCGGCUCAACCGUAAAAUUGCAAUUGAUACUGGCAGUCGUGAGUACAGUUGAGGUAGGCGGAAUUCGUGGUGUAGCGGUGAAAUGCUUAGAUAUCACGAAGAACCCCGAUUGCGAAGGCAGCUUACUAAACUGUGACUGACAUUGAUGCUCGAAAGUGUGGGUAUCAAACAGGAUUAGAUACCCUAGUAGUC